Molecule: non-coding RNA, 73 nt
Organism: Podarcis lilfordi (Lilford's wall lizard)
Lineage: Eukaryota; Metazoa; Chordata; Lepidosauria; Squamata; Lacertidae
Source: the annotation of a GenBank genome assembly
GCUGUAGCUCCGUGAGUGGUUGAUCAUUUGCUUUGUGUGUAGAAGGCCCCAGGUUCAAUCCCUGGCACCUGCA